AGGAAAACUAGGAGAAAAGAAAGAAACAAACAUUUUUACUCCUUCAAUCACUUGAAGGUUGAGGUUACUACAAGUUACUAAACUAAUCCAUCACUUGGCUAAAUUAACUUAUGUUUAAAUUAUCUUACAAUGGAUUAUCUGGUAUGAAAAAGAAAGUGAAUCUCCAACAUUUUAUUCCCUGAUAAAGUCUUGUUGGAUGGCAGACGAAACAUCGGAAAUAUACAAGGCUUAUACCAAAUAUAUACGCCUCCGAAUCUAUAACGUACCGGAGAGUUCUUCACUAUUGCCAAAAGUUCAAUCUAGCACAGGUUACAGUUGCUAUGUAAUCACACAGGUAAUCUACAAGAUUUAAGAAGAAGAUUGAGGCGAUAUAAUACACUUUGAGGGAUCCUGUACUUCUUCUUACUUUUAUUUAGGCAUAUUAAGCUAAAAACGUCCUAUACUGCCUAUCGGAGUUCGGACUCUGCUUCCAUUAUCGAGAUAGUUUAUAUAUAACUGCUCGAGUUGAAAAAAAAAACUUUAUAGUAAAUGAAAAACUAAAACCUCAAUUAGGGAGAUCCCCCUAUGUGCGUAAAAUAGAAAUCAAGUGUUUAAAAUCUAACUGGGGAGUUUAAUACUUAAUGGUAACCGCUAGAGCCUAACACUUAAUCGUAACCGCCAGAGCCGAAUACUUUAUCGUAACUCCUAGUGCCUAAUACUUAAUCGCAACGGCUAGAGCCUAAUACUUAAUCGCAACGGCUAGAGCCUAAUACUUAAUCGCAACUCCUAGUGCUUAAUACUUAAUCGUAACCGCCAGAGUCUAACACUUAAUCGUAACCGCCAGAGUCUUAACACUUAAUCGUAACCGCCAGAGUCUUAACACUUAAUCGUAACCGCCAGAGUCUAACACUUAAUCGUAACCGCCAGAGUCUAACACUUAAUCGUAACCGCCAGAGUCUAACACUUAAUCGUAACCGCCAGAGUCUAACACUUAAUCGUAACCGCCAGAGUCUAACACUUAAUCGUAACCGCCAGAGUCUAACACUUAAUCGUAACCGCCAUAGCCUAAUACUUUAUCGUAACUCCUACAGCCCAAUAUUUAAUCGUAACGGUUAGAGCCUAUUCUAUUACUUAAUGGUGACUACCAGAGCCUAAUAUUUAAUAAUUUUCACCAAAACUGCUGGCCAAUCAUGACACAGAAUUGCGAUGACGACAUAUAGCGCAAAAUAAACACAGUGAAACAUAAAUACGGUUCACGUAAAAUGCGACUUCAGAACAUAAUUUUACUCACUUUGAAGAUAAUAGUUAGUUUAAAGGAGCAUAUAUGUUAUUACUUACAAAGUUUUUGCGUCCAAUUACCAUUGCACUUAACACCAAACAUAAUGAGUGGGAAAAAUGAAGUAUAAACAUGGUAAAUAAACAAGGGAAAACGAUCACACAAAUUAAAAUUUUAAAACAGAACAACAAAAUUAACAUAAAGGUAAAACAAUCUCUUUACAGCCGUUUUAAAAACAAGAAA
Non-coding RNA from Ciona intestinalis (vase tunicate), 1498 nucleotides. The record is from RefSeq and is a predicted model, not a curated record. NCBI's taxonomy places the organism in Eukaryota, Metazoa, Chordata, Ascidiacea, Phlebobranchia, Cionidae.